This 1343-nucleotide ribosomal RNA is filed under the name uncultured bacterium. Its description in RNAcentral is "16S ribosomal RNA". It matches the Rfam family "Bacterial small subunit ribosomal RNA", at positions 28 to 1378 of the family's 1533-position model. The record is from RNAcentral.
GACGAACGCUGGCGGCGUGCUUAACACAUGCAAGUCGAACGGAAAGGCCCUGCUUUUGUGGGGUGCUCGAGUGGCGAACGGGUGAGUAACACGUGAGUAACCUGCCCUUGACUUUGGGAUAACUUCAGGAAACUGGGGCUAAUACCGGAUAGGAGCUCCUGCUGCAUGGUGGGGGUUGGAAAGUUUCGGCGGUUGGGGAUAGACUCGCGGCUUAUCAGCUUGUUGGUGGGGUAGUGGCUUACCAAGGCUUUGACGGGUAGCCGGCAUGAGAGGGUGACCGGCCACAUUGGGACUGAGAUACGGCCCAGACUCCUACGGGAGGCAGCAGUGGGGAAUAUUGCACAAUGGGCGGAAGCCUGAUGCAGCAACGCCGCGUGCGGGAUGACGGCCUUCGGGUUGUAAACCGCUUUCGCCUGUGACGAAGCGUGAGUGACGGUAAUGGGUAAAGAAGCACCGGCUAACUACGUGCCAGCAGCCGCGGUGAUACGUAGGGUGCGAGCGUUGUCCGGAUUUAUUGGGCGUAAAGGGCUCGUAGGUGGUUGAUCGCGUCGGAAGUGUAAUCUUGGGGCUUAACCCUGAGCGUGCUUUCGAUACGGGUUGACUUGAGGAAGGUAGGGGAGAAUGGAAUUCCUGGUGGAGCGGUGGAAUGCGCAGAUAUCAGGAGGAACACCAGUGGCGAAGGCGGUUCUCUGGGCCUUUCCUGACGCUGAGGAGCGAAAGCGUGGGGAGCGAACAGGCUUAGAUACCCUGGUAGUCCACGCUGUAAACGGUGGGUACUAGGUGUGGGGUCCAUUCCACGGGUUCCGUGCCGUAGCUAACGCUUUAAGUACCCCGCCUGGGGAGUACGGCCGCAAGGCUAAAACUCAAAGGAAUUGACGGGGCCCCGCACAAGCGGCGGAGCAUGCGGAUUAAUUCGAUGCAACGCGUAGAACCUUACCUGGGUUUGACAUGGAUCGGGAGCGCUCAGAGAUGGGUGUGCCUCUUUUGGGGUCGGUUCACAGGUGGUGCAUGGCUGUCGUCAGCUCGUGUCGUGAGAUGUUGGGUUAAGUCCCGCAACGAGCGCAACCCUUGUUCACUGUUGCCAGCACGUUAUGGUGGGGACUCAGUGGAGACCGCCGGGGUCAACUCGGAGGAAGGUGGGGAUGACGUCAAGUCAUCAUGCCCCUUAUGUCCAGGGCUUCACGCAUGCUACAAUGGCUGGUACAGAGAGUGGCGAGCCUGUGAGGGUGAGCGAAUCUCGGAAAGCCGGUCUCAGUUCGGAUUGGGGUCUGCAACUCGACCUCAUGAAGUCGGAGUCGCUAGUAAUCGCAGAUCAGCAACGCUGCGGUGAAUACGUUCCCGGG